Molecule: long non-coding RNA, 659 nt
Organism: Oncorhynchus keta (chum salmon)
Lineage: Eukaryota; Metazoa; Chordata; Actinopteri; Salmoniformes; Salmonidae
Exons: 3
Source: RefSeq, a predicted model, not a curated record
UGAUGGUGACCCACUCCAUGUGUUGUGUUGUGUAGGUGUCUAACCCUGAUGGUGACCCACUCCUUGUGUAUGUGUUGUGUAGGUGUCUAACCCUGAUGGUGACCCCUCCAUGUGUUGUGUUGUGUAGGUGUCUAACCCUGAUGGUGACCCCCUCCAUGUGUUGUGUUGUGUAGGUGUUUAACCCUGAUGGUGACCCCCUCCUUGUGUUGUGUUGUGUAGGUGUCUAACCCUGAUGGUGACCCACUCCUUGUGUAUGUGUUGUGUAGGUGUCUAACCCUGAUGGUGACCCACUCCUUGUGUAUGUGUUGUUUAGGUGUCUAACCCUGAUGGUGACCCACUCCUUGUGUAUGUGUUGUUUAGGUGUCUAACCCUGAUGGUGACCCACUCCUUGUGUAUGUGUUGUUUAGGUGUCUAACCCUGAUGGUGACCCACUCCUUGUGUAUGUGUUGUUUAGGUGUCUAACCCUGAUGGUGACCCACUCCUUGUGUAUGUGUUGUUUAGGUGUCUAACCCUGAUGGUGACCCACUCCUUGUGUAUGUGUUGUUUAGGUGUCUAACCCUGAUGGUGACCCACUCCUUGUGUAUGUGUUGUGUAGGUGUCUAACCCUGAUGGUGACCCACUCCUUGUGUAUGUGUUGUUUAGGUGUCUAACCCUGAUGG